GCCCUGGCCGGACACUGGAGCUGAGAAUUUCAACUGAGUCAAAGAGAUCCAGUGUCACAAGCACCACUGCUGUGAGAGCCAAAGAAACAUGGGAAAGAGACAACAGGAAGUGAAGAGAAGGAUGUGUUUCCAAAUGGCCUGGAAGAAGAGUUAAAAAGAUAAUUAUAAAAUCUCUGCUUUUUCUUAUAUGUGGGGAAAACCAACUUUCUGAAGGGCGCUUCCAUAUGAGUAAAUCAGCUGAUAAAGAAACGUUCUUCAAAAAACAAACAAGCACUCCUUGAUUUGAUAAUCAAAUGAGGGACGCAUGGCAAACUUUUUGAAUAUGUGAGUCCCACUGGCUUUGCAGAUGGCUGGACGUUUUCUCUGCCUGGCCCCUUCAGAAUGACAGCACCAUUUGGAUGACUCGCUCGCACUAGAUGAGGCCUUUCUACUUCACCUUGGUUCCACUCAGUUGCACAUAAGGCAACCUGCUGCUGGUCCAGGUUUUGGGACCCAUUUGUAGCAGCAGAAAGAUUCAGCACUAGGAGGAAAGGAGACCCACAGUGUGAAAGCAUCGAGCCAGGUUUCCUGGAGGCCUGCACAGGAGCUAUGCUGGGAAUCAGGGGAGAAGUUUUGGCAGAUAAGGGAAGAAAGAUAUAUGCUGGACAAAGACUUUACAUAUUUCAUAAUAUUUAACUCUCCCAAUAAUACCAAGAGUUUGUUUACAUUUUUCUUGGUUUUCAAAUAAGUAAAGAGGAAAAAUCCUAACAGUCUGUGCUUUUUUUAAAGGGUUAUAUCCAUAGUGAAAUAAUCUAUGUGACAGAACAGAAUUAGCACCAGAGGUCUCCCGACCUCAAAAGUUGAAUUAUUUUCAGUCCAAGUCCCUAAUUCCAGCAUAUUUCCAUUUGAAAGUUGGCAUGACAUAACAAAAAAUUGAUUAACAAAAACAAGGGAAAAAAGUCAACCAUCCUUAAAUACUUUUUUAGAUGUAAAUAUCUAAUUUGGAGACUCAGUGCAUCAGUAUGAGGUCAGCUCCUAAAGUCAGAUGCUUGGUUCAAAGUCAACUCUAGCUUUUUGCUGCCCAGUUGAGCUAAUUAAGCUCUUGAGCUCUAUGUUUACUCAUACAAGAACAACAGCAGAACCUGUCUUCUUGAGUUGUUGGGGAAAAAAUUUAAAUACAUGCGAAGUGCUUAGAAUAGUACUUGACACAUUUACUAACACUCAGUAAAUAUUAUUAGUUGGUGUCCUUCCUUCUCUGGUUCCCUCCGUCCCUCCCUCUCUCUUUCCCUUCCACUCUCAAUCUUUCUAGCAAGUUGAGUUGACAGUGUGCAUAACCAAUAAACAAUCUCUCUAGCAAGAUGGCAAGACUCACCAAAGAUGGCUCAGAAACUCAAUUGUGAAGUUUAAAGAGAAAAGAUUACUGGGAUUUAAAAAUAGAAUGUGGUGAGAAGCAAUCUUGCUGUGUCAACUUUUAGAAUGCUGUACUGAGAAAACCCAGCGGAGCUUUAUUUUAAGAAGACCCUGAAUGGCUUUGCUGCAGUACAUGGAUUUAUCUGAGCAUCCCCUUGAUGGUUUGCUUUCUUGUGAGCCUAAAACCAAGCACCAUGAAGAGUUCUGGUCUCCUCAAGCCUCCUACCUUCAACCUUACACAAAGUCCACCAAACCAGACUCGUGUGCAGCUGUCAAAUAAAUGGAGCGGAACCCCAGCUGGGAGCCUCGGUUGCUGCCUCUUUUGAAGUUCCCCUCUUUGUUAAACCUUCUUUGAACACAAACUGAAUUUUUUUAUACUGUAUUUCAGGCAUGGUGAAAAAUAUUAAGGAUACAAAAUAAGCCACAGAUGAUGGAUUUGGAAAGUAGGUAGCGAAGAAGUUUGGUCUGUGUUACUGUCUGGGUUCUAGCCCUGUGUUUUUUUUUAAAU
Long non-coding RNA from Fukomys damarensis (Damara mole-rat), 1897 nucleotides. RefSeq lists it as uncharacterized. The transcript is spliced from 4 exons. NCBI's taxonomy places the organism in Eukaryota, Metazoa, Chordata, Mammalia, Rodentia, Bathyergidae. The record is from RefSeq and is a predicted model, not a curated record.